This 405-nucleotide unclassified non-coding RNA is filed under the name soil metagenome. RNAcentral's name for it is "partial contains 5.8S ribosomal RNA, internal transcribed spacer 2, and large subunit ribosomal RNA". The stretch from base 1 to 121 matches the Rfam family "5.8S ribosomal RNA", at positions 35 to 154 of the family's 154-position model. The record is from RNAcentral.
GAUGAAGAACGUAGUGAAAUGCGAUAAGUAAUGUGAAUUGCAGAAUUCAGUGAAUCAUCGAAUCUUUGAACGCACCUUGCGCCCUUUGGCCAUUCCGAAGGGCAUGCCUGUUUGAGUAUCAUGAACACCUCAACUCUUCAUGGUUUUCCAUGAUGAGCUUGGACUUUGGGGGUCUUGCUGGCCUGUGGGUCGGCUCCUCUCAAAUGAAUCAGCUUGCCGGUUUUUGGUGGGCAUCACAGGUGUGAUAACUAUCUACGCUUGUGGUUUUCCACCAGGGUAACCUUCAGCAGUGGAGGUUCACUGGAGCUUACAAAUGUCUCUCCUCUGUGAGGACAGCCCUUUGAAUGUUUGAUCUCAAAUCAGGUAGGACUACCCGCUGAACUUAAGAAUAUCAAUAAGCGGAGA